Parasteatoda tepidariorum (common house spider) is the source of this 861-nucleotide non-coding RNA. Lineage: Eukaryota; Metazoa; Arthropoda; Arachnida; Araneae; Theridiidae. The record is from RefSeq and is a predicted model, not a curated record.
AAAUAAAGAAUAUAGGUGCAUUUAUAUAUCAAAUUGAUACGUAAUUUGUAUUAAUAUAAUUUUAAAUUUGUAACUAUUAUGAAGUUAUAAGUUUUUUAAAAGAAGAGUGCUUAUUAAAUCUACGUUUAACAUUCAUGUUGCUGAGGGUUUGCUCGUAAUUUUUCGUUGCAUUAUUUAAUAAAAUUUAGUAAGAAGGUGUGACUUGUUUUGCAGGUUUAAAACGACUUUCUUUGUGUGCUUUAAGUAAUUUUUUUCCUAAGUAUGAACGAAUAACUCAACUGUGAAUUCAAAUUAAAUACUGAAACUGAAAGCACAUAAAUAUAUGUUAAAAUUUCCAGAGCCUUUGUUUAUUACCUGAGGGCUCAGCUAGUCUAUCGAAAAAUGGAUGUUAGUGUCUUCCAAAAAACAAGUUACUUGAACUAAAGAUAAAUUUUGAUAACCUGGACCAAAUCUGGAUUAUUUAUUAAAUUCAUUGUGUAGCAUAGAAUCUAUACUAUUACACCCGAUGAAACAUUUUAUCUUGGCUGUUCCUUGUUAAAAUUUACAUUAUUUCUCAUUGAAUUAGUCUAAAGAUUUAUUGUUCAAUAUUUGAUAAAAAAAAGGUUUUCCUUUUUGAAAUUGUCUGCAUUAGUUUGUUUGAUUUUUAAAUUGAAAUAUAACUUGUCUUAAUUUUAGGAAACAAUGAAGAGAAAAUGUGUGGGAAUCUGGAAUUGCAAGGCCUGUCAAAAAACUGUUGCUGGUGGUGCCUAUGUUUAUGGAACAAUAGCAGCAUCUACAGUAAGGAGUGCAGUAAGAAGAUUAAGGGAAUUAAAAGAACAGUAAAGAGUUGUAAAUUUAAAUAAAUAAAAAAAAAUUAAUUGA